UAAAAUCAAUCCCCACGGGUUUCUUGACCUGGCGGUGGACUUGGAGUUGGGCGUCUGCCGGUCACACGGCUCGCCUUAAAGACCUUAGUGGGAUCAUCGGCCUAUGGCUUGACGUAAUAAGUUUCGUCUCGUCCGGCCCCUCGAAGCCCGCUCACAACCCGCCCUCGGGCAACUACUUUAU
RNAcentral lists this unclassified non-coding RNA (181 nucleotides) under uncultured Cryptococcus. RNAcentral's name for it is "sequence contains ITS2". Lineage: Eukaryota; Fungi; Basidiomycota; Tremellomycetes. The record is from RNAcentral.